RNAcentral lists this ribosomal RNA (2904 nucleotides) under Escherichia coli. RNAcentral describes it as "23S ribosomal RNA". It matches the Rfam family "Bacterial large subunit ribosomal RNA". The record is from RNAcentral. Lineage: Bacteria; Pseudomonadati; Pseudomonadota; Gammaproteobacteria; Enterobacterales; Enterobacteriaceae.
GGUUAAGCGACUAAGCGUACACGGUGGAUGCCCUGGCAGUCAGAGGCGAUGAAGGACGUGCUAAUCUGCGAUAAGCGUCGGUGAGGUGAUAUGAACCGUUAUAACCGGCGAUUUCCGAAUGGGGAAACCCAGUGUGUUUCGACACACUAUCAUUAACUGAAUCCAUAGGUUAAUGAGGCGAACCGGGGGAACUGAAACAUCUAAGUACCCCGAGGAAAAGAAAUCAACCGAGAUUCCCCCAGUAGCGGCGAGCGAACGGGGAGGAGCCCAGAGCCUGAAUCAGUGUGUGUGUUAGUGGAAGCGUCUGGAAAGGCGUGCGAUACAGGGUGACAGCCCCGUACACAAAAAUGCACAUAUUGUGAGCUCGAUGAGUAGGGCGGGACACGUGGUAUCCUGUCUGAAUAUGGGGGGACCAUCCUCCAAGGCUAAAUACUCCUGACUGACCGAUAGUGAACCAGUACCGUGAGGGAAAGGCGAAAAGAACCCCGGCGAGGGGAGUGAAAAAGAACCUGAAACCGUGUACGUACAAGCAGUGGGAGCCUCUUAAUGGGGUGACUGCGUACCUUUUGUAUAAUGGGUCAGCGACUUAUAUUCUGUAGCAAGGUUAACCGAAUAGGGGAGCCGAAGGGAAACCGAGUCUUAACUGGGCGUUAAGUUGCAGGGUAUAGACCCGAAACCCGGUGAUCUAGCCAUGGGCAGGUUGAAGGUUGGGUAACACUAACUGGAGGACCGAACCGACUAAUGUUGAAAAAUUAGCGGAUGACUUGUGGCUGGGGGUGAAAGGCCAAUCAAACCGGGAGAUAGCUGGUUCUCCCCGAAAGCUAUUUAGGUAGCGCCUCGUGAAUUCAUCUCCGGGGGUAGAGCACUGUUUCGGCAAGGGGGUCAUCCCGACUUACCAACCCGAUGCAAACUGCGAAUACCGGAGAAUGUUAUCACGGGAGACACACGGCGGGUGCUAACGUCCGUCGUGAAGAGGGAAACAACCCAGACCGCCAGCUAAGGUCCCAAAGUCAUGGUUAAGUGGGAAACGAUGUGGGAAGGCCCAGACAGCCAGGAUGUUGGCUUAGAAGCAGCCAUCAUUUAAAGAAAGCGUAAUAGCUCACUGGUCGAGUCGGCCUGCGCGGAAGAUGUAACGGGGCUAAACCAUGCACCGAAGCUGCGGCAGCGACACUAUGUGUUGUUGGGUAGGGGAGCGUUCUGUAAGCCUGUGAAGGUGGCCUGUGAGGGUUGCUGGAGGUAUCAGAAGUGCGAAUGCUGACAUAAGUAACGAUAAAGCGGGUGAAAAGCCCGCUCGCCGGAAGACCAAGGGUUCCUGUCCAACGUUAAUCGGGGCAGGGUGAGUCGACCCCUAAGGCGAGGCCGAAAGGCGUAGUCGAUGGGAAACAGGUUAAUAUUCCUGUACUUGGUGUUACUGCGAAGGGGGGACGGAGAAGGCUAUGUUGGCCGGGCGACGGUUGUCCCGGUUUAAGCGUGUAGGCUGGUUUUCCAGGCAAAUCCGGAAAACCAAGGCUGAGGUGUGAUGACGAGGCACUACGGUGCUGAAGCGACAAAUGCCCUGCUUCCAGGAAAAGCCUCUAAGCAUCAGGUAACAUCAAAUCGUACCCCAAACCGACACAGGUGGUCAGGUAGAGAAUACCAAGGCGCUUGAGAGAACUCGGGUGAAGGAACUAGGCAAAAUGGUGCCGUAACUUCGGGAGAAGGCACGCUGAUAUGUAGGUGAAGCGACUUGCUCGUGGAGCUGAAAUCAGUCGAAGAUACCAGCUGGCUGCAACUGUUUAUUAAAAACACAGCACUGUGCAAACACGAAAGUGGACGUAUACGGUGUGACGCCUGCCCGGUGCCGGAAGGUUAAUUGAUGGGGUUAGCGGCAACGCGAAGCUCUUGAUCGAAGCCCCGGUAAACGGCGGCCGUAACUAUAACGGUCCUAAGGUAGCGAAAUUCCUUGUCGGGUAAGUUCCGACCUGCACGAAUGGCGUAAUGAUGGCCAGGCUGUCUCCACCCGAGACUCAGUGAAAUUGAACUCGCUGUGAAGAUGCAGUGUACCCGCGGCAAGACGGAAAGACCCCGUGAACCUUUACUAUAGCUUGACACUGAACAUUGAGCCUUGAUGUGUAGGAUAGGUGGGAGGCUUUGAAGUGUGGACGCCAGUCUGCAUGGAGCCGACCUUGAAAUACCACCCUUUAAUGUUUGAUGUUCUAACGUUGGCCCGUAAUCCGGGUUGCGGACAGUGUCUGGUGGGUAGUUUGACUGGGGCGGUCUCCUCCUAAAGAGUAACGGAGGAGCACGAAGGUUGGCUAAUCCUGGUCGGACAUCAGGAGGUUAGUGCAAUGGCAUAAGCCAGCUUGACUGCGAGCGUGACGGCGCGAGCAGGUGCGAAAGCAGGUCAUAGUGAUCCGGUGGUUCUGAAUGGAAGGGCCAUCGCUCAACGGAUAAAAGGUACUCCGGGGAUAACAGGCUGAUACCGCCCAAGAGUUCAUAUCGACGGCGGUGUUUGGCACCUCGAUGUCGGCUCAUCACAUCCUGGGGCUGAAGUAGGUCCCAAGGGUAUGGCUGUUCGCCAUUUAAAGUGGUACGCGAGCUGGGUUUAGAACGUCGUGAGACAGUUCGGUCCCUAUCUGCCGUGGGCGCUGGAGAACUGAGGGGGGCUGCUCCUAGUACGAGAGGACCGGAGUGGACGCAUCACUGGUGUUCGGAUUGUCAUGCCAAUGGCACUGCCCGGUAGCUAAAUGCGGAAGAGAUAAGUGCUGAAAGCAUCUAAGCACGAAACUUGCCCCGAGAUGAGUUCUCCCUGACUCCUUGAGAGUCCUGAAGGAACGUUGAAGACGACGACGUUGAUAGGCCGGGUGUGUAAGCGCAGCGAUGCGUUGAGCUAACCGGUACUAAUGAACCGUGAGGCUUAACCUU